GUAAAGACAGUGAUGAGGAAUAGUAAAUUUGUUUUUCUUUUUAGAGAGCUAGCGGUUGGUGGAAGCUAGCAAGAAAGAAAAUUGAACUCGCCUGCUGAGUCUGCUCGCGUGAAAUCCACGUGCGCCGUUCCUUCCGCGUUAAGGAAGCUUGAGCCGAGUGUGAUCACUAAUUUGGGUGGUACCGCGGGAGAUAAAGAACUCUCUCGUCCCUUUC
RNAcentral lists this non-coding RNA (214 nucleotides) under Lysinibacillus sphaericus. RNAcentral describes it as "T-box sequence". It matches the Rfam family "T-box leader". From Rfam's summary of the family: Uncharged tRNA acts as the effector for transcription antitermination of genes in the T-box leader family. T-boxes are found upstream of many aminoacyl-tRNA synthetase genes and some amino acid biosynthetic genes usually in Gram-positive bacteria. Lineage: Bacteria; Bacillati; Bacillota; Bacilli; Caryophanales; Bacillaceae. The record is from RNAcentral.